UACGGAGGGUGCAAGCGUUAUCCGGAUUCAUUGGGUUUAAAGGGUGCGUAGGCGGCUUAUUAAGUCAGCGGUGAAAGCCUGGAGCUUAACUCCAGAACUGCCAUUGAUACUGAUGAGCUUGAGUACACUUGAAGUGGGCGGAAUGUGUCGUGUAGCGGUGAAAUGCUUAGAUAUGACACAGAACACCGAUUGCGAAGGCAGCUCACUAAAUUGUAACUGACGCUGAGGCACGAAAGCGUGGGGAUCAAACAGG
Molecule: ribosomal RNA, 253 nt
Filed under: uncultured bacterium
Lineage: Bacteria
Description: partial 16S ribosomal RNA
Rfam family: Bacterial small subunit ribosomal RNA
Source: RNAcentral